RNAcentral lists this ribosomal RNA (390 nucleotides) under Paracoccus sp. R-46302. RNAcentral's name for it is "bacterial SSU rRNA". It matches the Rfam family "Bacterial small subunit ribosomal RNA", at positions 21 to 439 of the family's 1533-position model. The record is from RNAcentral. Lineage: Bacteria; Pseudomonadati; Pseudomonadota; Alphaproteobacteria; Rhodobacterales; Paracoccaceae.
GGCUCAGAACGAACGCUGGCGGCAGGCCUAACACAUGCAAGUCGAGCGAGGACUUCGGUUCUAGCGGCGGACGGGUGAGUAACGCGUGGGAAUGUGCCCUUCUCUACGGAAUAGCCCUGGGAAACUGGGAGUAAUACCGUAUACGCCCUAUUGGGGAAAGAUUUAUCGGAGAAGGAUCAGCCCGCGUUGGAUUAGGUAGUUGGUGGGGUAAUGGCCUACCAAGCCGACGAUCCAUAGCUGGUUUGAGAGGAUGAUCAGCCACACUGGGACUGAGACACGGCCCAGACUCCUACGGGAGGCAGCAGUGGGGAAUCUUAGACAAUGGGGGCAACCCUGAUCUAGCCAUGCCGCGUGAGUGAUGAAGGCCUUAGGGUUGUAAAGCUCUUUCAG